CGGGAAGAGCUCAAAUUUGAAAUCUAGUAGCCUUCGGCUGCUCGAGUUGUAAUCUAUAGAAUGUUUUCCGUGCUGGCUCAUGUACAAGUCCCUUGGAACAGGGCGUCAUAGAGGGUGAGAAUCCCGUACUUGACAUGAAUUACCAGUGCUCUGUGAUACAUUUUCAAAGAGUCGAGUUGUUUGGGAAUGCAGCUCAAAAUGGGUGGUAAAUUCCAUCUAAAGCUAAAUAUUGGCGAGAGACCGAUAGCGAACAAGUACCGUGAGGGAAAGAUGAAAAGCACUUUGGAAAGAGAGUUAAACAGUAUGUGAAAUUGUUAAAAGGGAAACGAUUGAAGUCAAUCAUGUCCUUGGGUCUUACCACCCUUGGAUGGGGUCAACAUCAGUUUUGAUCGGUGGAUAAGGAUAGGAGGAAGGUAGCACUCUCGGGUGAACUUAUAGCC
This 440-nucleotide ribosomal RNA is filed under the name Goffeauzyma gastrica. Its description in RNAcentral is "eukaryotic LSU rRNA". It matches the Rfam family "Eukaryotic large subunit ribosomal RNA", at positions 99 to 528 of the family's 3401-position model. The record is from RNAcentral. Lineage: Eukaryota; Fungi; Basidiomycota; Tremellomycetes; Filobasidiales; Filobasidiaceae.